GAUGAGAAGCUUCGACUAAGGUUCGACUCGAGCGCCAGCGAGAGAGCGUUGCCGCAGGCAACGACCUGAAGGGCGAAGCGCGCAGCGCUGAGUAAUCCUUCCCCCACCACCA
This 112-nucleotide small RNA is filed under the name Escherichia coli. Its description in RNAcentral is "partial RtT sRNA". It matches the Rfam family "RtT RNA", at positions 21 to 130 of the family's 130-position model. Rfam says of the family: This family represents a bacterial cis-regulatory element known as RtT RNA. The exact function of RtT is unknown although it is thought that it may be involved in changing the cellular response in relation to amino acid starvation. The record is from RNAcentral. Lineage: Bacteria; Pseudomonadati; Pseudomonadota; Gammaproteobacteria; Enterobacterales; Enterobacteriaceae.